This 253-nucleotide ribosomal RNA is filed under the name uncultured bacterium. RNAcentral describes it as "partial 16S ribosomal RNA". It matches the Rfam family "Bacterial small subunit ribosomal RNA", at positions 524 to 776 of the family's 1533-position model. The record is from RNAcentral.
UACGGGGGGGGCAAGCGUUGUUCGGAAUUACUGGGCGUAAAGGGCUCGUAGGUGGCCAACUAAGUCGGACGUGAAAUCCCUCGGCUUAACCGGGGAACUGCAUCCGAUACUGGAUGGCUUGAGUUCGGGAGAGGGAUGCGGAAUUCCAGGUGUAGCGGUGAAAUGCGUAGAUAUCUGGAGGAACACCGGUGGCGAAGGCGGCAUCCUGGACCGACACCGACGCUGAGGAGCGAAAGCCAGGGGAGCAAACGGG